UCCAGACUCCUACGGGAGGCAGCAGUGGGGGAUAUUGCACAAUGGGGGAAACCCUGAUGCAGCGACGCCGCGUGAGUGAAGAAGUAUUUCGGUAUGUAAAGCUCUAUCAGCAGGGAAGAAAGAAGACGGUACCUGACUAAGAAGCCCCGGCUAACUACGUGCCAGCAGCCGCGGUAAUACGUAGGGGGCCAGCGUUAUCCGGAUUUACUGGGUGUAAAGGGAGCGUAGACGGCAAUACAAGUCGGAAGUGAAAUACCCGGGCUUAACCUGGGAACUGCUUUGGAAACUGUAUGGCUGGAGUGCUGGAGAGGUAAGCGGAAUUCCUAGUGUAGCGGUGAAAUGCGUAGAUAUUAGGAGGAACACCAGUGGCGAAGGCGGCUUACUGGACAGUAACUGACGUUGAGGCUCGAAAGCGUGGGGAGCAAACAGGAUUAGAUACCCCCGUA
Molecule: ribosomal RNA, 446 nt
Filed under: uncultured bacterium
Lineage: Bacteria
Description: bacterial SSU rRNA
Rfam family: Bacterial small subunit ribosomal RNA
Source: RNAcentral